CCCUUAGAUGUUCUGGGCCGCACGCGCGCUACACUGACGAAUGCAACGAGCUUAUAACCUUGGCCGAAAGGUCUGGGUAAUCUCCAAAUUUCGUCGUGAUGGGGAUAGAUUAUUGCAAUUAUUAAUCUUCAACGAGGAAUGCCUAGUAAGCGCAAGUCAUCAGCUUGCGUUGAUUACGUCCCUGCCCUUUGUACACACCGCCCGUCGCUCCUACCGAUUGAAUUGUCCGGUGAAGCGUUCGGACCGUGGCCUUUGGACGGUUCGCCGUCUGUUGGCUGCGGGAAGUUCGUUAAACCUUAUCAUUUAGAGGAAGGAGAANUCGUAACA
RNAcentral lists this ribosomal RNA (327 nucleotides) under uncultured eukaryote. Its description in RNAcentral is "partial 18S ribosomal RNA". It matches the Rfam family "Eukaryotic small subunit ribosomal RNA", at positions 1470 to 1796 of the family's 1831-position model. The record is from RNAcentral.